CGAAAUCUGAAUGCAUGUGACUGAAAUUGGCUCUCUGUGAUUAUUUAUACAAAGAUUGGUACGUCAGCAAGAAAAGUUUUCUUCCUGGGGAGAAAUACAAGCAAACAUGAAGACAAGAGGACUCAGCGUGAUCCAUGUAAUGCUCUCCUUUCCCUGACGUGUACUCAAGAAUCAGCUAUCUCACAGGUAAUAAAUAUUUUCUUCCUAGUUAUGACACAACUUUUCUCUY
RNAcentral lists this long non-coding RNA (229 nucleotides) under Dromaius novaehollandiae (emu). Its description in RNAcentral is "lncRNA (ENSDNVG00000003636.1)". Lineage: Eukaryota; Metazoa; Chordata; Aves; Casuariiformes; Dromaiidae. The record is from RNAcentral.